UAAGUAAGUGGUGGAAAUUAAACCAACUGGGAUCUCUUCAGUAAUUGCGCAUGAACCAGGAUAUGCUUAGCUUGACAAAUGGAGCUGCUGGCUCUGAAUUGUAUUGUGGGAAUGUAUUACCAACAGAGGUGCAGGUGUCAGCCAUUUGAAAGAAAGCGACAAUGAGGGUGAGAAGCCUGUUUGUCAUGUGCAGCCUUCUGUGCACGGUGUAUAUUUGCUGAGUCACACUCCUUGGCAUUGGAAUGCAAAGUGGGUGGUAAGUUUCAUGCAAAGGUAAAUAUGCAAUUGAGACUGAUAGCGCACAAUACCAUGAGGGACAUAUGAAAAGGACUUUGAACAGAGAAUUAAAUGAGUUUGUAUUUGCUAAACACAAAGUAAACAGACUUGAUUUCCUCAGUGAGAUUGUAGUGCUUGCUUAACAAUGGGUUUUGGCUGCAAGUGCAAUAAUUCUUGCUUUGUGUGCCCGUUUUUAUGUGGACAUUUGAUUACCUUUGCACAUGAAUGGUAAUUUUCUGCGGGGUGUGGAUUGCAUAUGCAUGUAAUGAUUUGCAUGUUUGUUAAAUGUGUCUGGUGUAUUUGUUUGUGCCCUUGUCCUUGGAGUUGCUUUCUCCCUUGGGCUUACAUGCCCUGGCACACACAUUCUGGCAAAAUGCUUCUGCUUGACCCG
RNAcentral lists this ribosomal RNA (667 nucleotides) under Alexandrium catenella. Its description in RNAcentral is "eukaryotic LSU rRNA". It matches the Rfam family "Eukaryotic large subunit ribosomal RNA", at positions 43 to 651 of the family's 3401-position model. The record is from RNAcentral. Lineage: Eukaryota; Dinophyceae; Gonyaulacales; Pyrocystaceae.